This 1632-nucleotide long non-coding RNA is filed under the name Citrus x clementina. Its description in RNAcentral is "Citrus clementina (C. clementina) long non-coding RNA (CCLE_LNC001914)". Lineage: Eukaryota; Viridiplantae; Streptophyta; Magnoliopsida; Sapindales; Rutaceae. The record is from RNAcentral.
UCUAAUAAUUUUCUCAUUGUUUCUAAAUGAAUGUUCUUUUCAUUUAUGAAUUUUUCAGUUUCUAAUAAUUUUCUCAUUGGUUUAGUCUUAAUAUUUGUAUUCCUCUCUUCAAACUUUCUUUAUUAUUUAAUUUCCAAAGAAAAAAAUCUAAAAGAAAAAGUAAGAAAAACAUUAUAGUUAGAAAAUAAUGAUAUUUAAUGAGUUUAAUAUAAUUUUAUCCUACCUACAAAUUUUGGGUUCAACAAUUAGUUUGAGAAUUUUUAAAAAAUUAUUUGCAGCGAGAUAAAAUUUUGUUUUCUUUAUUUUCCACUAUGUUGUAUCUUAAUUAAGUUAUUAUGUUUGUUGCAAAAAUUUUGUUUUGACUUAGAGGAUUACUUCAUAAAUUCAGAUUAAUUUGAUGAUAAAAAAAUUUAUAUUUUGCAAGCAAAAUAAAAUUGAAGAGAGAGAGAAAAUAUAAAUGGCUUAAUUCUAUUUAUAUUUAUCUUUAAAUGUAAUUGUAAUAUAACAGGGGUUUUAUGAGAUUAAUGAAGGGGUGCCAAUAGUUCAACUCUUAAUAAUAAAAUCUUAUAAUAAUAAUAAAUUUAAAUAAUACUAAUUUAAUUGUAAUAUUAAUAUAAAAUCAUACUAUUUUCUAUAAUACAGUCCAUAUUACACUAAACAUAGUAUUGUAUUACAACUUAAUGCAAUGCAUCUCAAUGCAAUAUAUUAUAAUGCAAUAUGAUUAAUGCAAUACAAUGUGUUAGGUUCUUCAUGUAUCCGUGUGUAACCACUGGCCCAAUGGUGGUGCACCGAAGACGAUCAUAAAAUUUAAUACUUCUAACCUCAUAAUAUUAGAGUCAUAAACUUUAUAUAAAAUUAUCUACCAUUACUGUAAUGAUUAGAUAAAGUACCCCAUAAUUCAUAUGAUUUAUCUUAACCAAUGCAAUUAUGUCAUUCAUUUGAAAUAAAUAAAUUUACAUAAAAUUGUGAUCCAUCAUUCCUCUUUCUAACUACCCCAUGUGCCUGACUACCUUCCGACCCCUUUGACCCAAACCACAAAAUUUAAGUAAUCAUAAACAAAGUCGGUAAUCGGUAUUCAACAUUUUAUCAAUUUCAUUUUAAGAUUUUUGCAGAUUUUAUAUGAUCUCAAUCUUCACAGAACACAAUGAUAUUGAUUCCAACUAAUUAUGCUCGUACGAAAUUUUGAUUUUUCACAAAUUUAGCUGCAAUAUUUCGAAACGAAGUUUGAUUAUUUCCUUAAUUAAUUACAAUGAAUAGCGAAAAUUCUAUAUUAAGCACCAAAAUUCAAGUUUUAAAAUAUGAACAGUAUCGGGAGAGGCUUAACUAUAUGAUUAUAAAUCUUCGAACUUUCCCUCCCCAUCGAUUACUUGUAUUAAUUUCUUUUGAAAAAUAAAAUAAAAAUUAUAGCAGACAAUAAAUCCUAAAAGAUAAGUAGAGAUGGCCAACAAGCUGGGCAACAUGAGGCAUGGUAUAGAAACGGCACGUGACUUUAGAGUCUGGCAUGAUUUGAGAAGAGUCAAGGUACGACUUAGGGGCUGUUUUUUUUCUCUUUUUUUUUUUUACUUAAUGAUUUAAUUGACUAAAUUUUAAUAAGUUAUGUCAUUAUGUCCAUUUAUUUUUUUAACUUAAUUA